Molecule: long non-coding RNA, 1396 nt
Filed under: Lepisosteus oculatus (spotted gar)
Lineage: Eukaryota; Metazoa; Chordata; Actinopteri; Semionotiformes; Lepisosteidae
Description: lncRNA (ENSLOCG00000023102.1)
Source: RNAcentral
GGCUGAUGACUUCACAGCCUUUUUAUAUAAAAAAAAGUUUCCCCUCUUGAAGUUCUAAAAAGAGGAGCGUUUCUGCUCAACUCGUGCGAUGCUGAUGUUGUAGAAGUCUGAGGCCUGUGUCUCGCUAGGGAGGGGUCGCAGAAUCUGCACUUCGAGCUCGGCUGCGUGUGGAGAUCUGCUGGCGCUGCAGGGCAGGUGCUCUAGGCUCUGUGCUACCAGACUCCGCUGCGCAAAGGUCACCGUGGUCAGGAGACGGCGCAGCUCUCGCGGCCUGACUCACUCUUUCCGCCUGACCCGCUCCCGCCGCCGCCGGGGACAUGGCCAACAACACGCACGGCUCCGCGGCCCCUCCCAGUGAGUUCCUUUCCUCUUCUCUUCUGAACCCCCCCCCGGCGAACAUGCCAGCACCAGGAUCGCCGCAGUGGACCUGCGGCAGGCCGAGAAGACGUGUCGGGUCCACACUGGCCUUUGCAAGAGAUUGCAAGGAGGGGCUGCUGGUUAUUGUUGGCUCUGGCCGACGGCUGGGUGCCCUGUCUCUGACAGGUAGCUAUGGGGGGUGGGGUGGGGGACUUGCCCUUCCUUCCUGCAUGGAAACUAGAUCUAGGCUGGCAGCCUGGCUAUGAGCAAGAGCCCAAAGCUUCGUUAAUGAAGACAUGGUAAUUAACAGGAUUUGUUCAUGAUUCUGUACUUGCUGGAGUAUGUACACAGACCGGGUUUGGGGAGAGACCACCCAGGCCCCUGUGAGUGCAGUAAGGAACCUUGUGUGUUUGUUUGGAGUUGCUCCGGCUUGCCUACUUUACACCAGUGUCGAUCUGUUAUCCUCUCUGCCUUCUUUCCAGAAGGUGGAGAUUUGACGGAGGCACAUUACAUCCUCAUCGGCAUCUCCGCCUUCACUGUGGUGGCCAUCGCCCUGCUGGUGGUGCUCUGGCUGAGGAAGUACCGUGCCUUGAUGCGCACCAUCCAGAACCUUCAGAGAACGGGCUGUUUUGUCAAUGUCCCCCCCUCAGACGCCCCCACGCCGCACAGCACCUCGCUGGACACCCUGGAAGAGGACCCUGUCCAGACGGGCCAGCAGACGCCUGCGGAGAGGCAGAAAUCCAAGUCUUUGAGCAGGUCGAUAUGGAGGCCACCACAACCAGGACCCCGCUUCACGAAGGCGGACCUAAACCUCAUGCAGAUCAUCAAGGCUGGGAAGGAGGGCGUCUUCUACAAGGCCAGGAUGAAUCGUGGGACCUGCAAAGGCCACUCGUUCUUCACCUGCAAGAUCUCGAAAGAAGGUGUCAGCCCCAAACGAGUGGAGACGGAGGUGUCCAUCAUGAGGAAGCUGGGGCACCACAAGAACGUCCUGCAGCUCCUGGACUGGAACACGAGCCAGGGUGAGGUGGUGGGGCGGGGU